Rosa rugosa (rugosa rose) is the source of this 1018-nucleotide RNA transcript. It is a transcript of the gene named protein MICROTUBULE BINDING PROTEIN 2C-like, with no coding region annotated. The transcript has 4 exons. The record is from RefSeq and is a predicted model, not a curated record. NCBI's taxonomy places the organism in Eukaryota, Viridiplantae, Streptophyta, Magnoliopsida, Rosales, Rosaceae.
ACUUGUUUGUAAGCCCCUAGUCUUCCACGUUUGAUAAGGCCCAAUUCAUUCCCUUCACCUAAUCAUGAAAUAUUCCCUUCAUUUCCCUUUUGGUUCGAUUUGGUUGAUCUAACCAACCAUGAUUUAUGUUUUCUUAUUUUCUCUCCCACCAUGAAUUCAACCCCACCCUCUUUCUCGUCUGUAGCCACCUCGUCCCCUCCCCCACGAUCACCCAUCAAAACUCUGCUAUGCUUCCUCCUUCAUUAUAUGGUCAUUUUGGGGACUUGACUGACCACCACCACCACCUGACUUUGUCCUCCUCCGCCGCCAACGGCAACAUCGACCGCGUCCUCUUCCAAGAGCUCAUCGAGAUCAUCCCUCUUGUCCAGUCCCUCAUCGAUCCGGAAGCCAGCAGUUCAUUUACGCGGCGCGGUUCGGUCACCUACAGCAAGACACCUUCGAGAGGCUCCUUAUCCAACAAACAAAAUUAAAACGAAGAUGUUGGAAGAAAAGGCCGAACCAAUAAAGCAUGUCAUUAUCAAAGCUUACAAUAGAGUACAGGAUCAAAAAUAGAAGAAAUAUAUCUAAAUGCUAUCUUCUGUAUGAGUAAGCAUUGACCGAGAAGAAGGUGUGCAACACGUUAAAAAAAGGGCUGGGCAUUGGUCGAAAGAUUAUCAGAAGAUGGAAGCUUCAAAAUUGGCCAUGUGGUUUUCUUUGUGACUCACCUCCAAAAUCAGUGAAGAACCUCUGUAAAAAGAACAAUAUAGUUAGUAGCAAAAACAAAUAAAGACGUGCUAGCAGCUGUGAAAAAGGUCUUCAUAGAUAUAGUUGGUACCUUCAAAUGGUUGUGUUUGCAGUGAGAAGGAGGAUGAACGUAAUUACUUAAAUUUGGGCAUAAAUAAAUGAAUUGUGGCAACUGGUAUGUAGUUAAUUGUGGAUAUUUGUAAUCCAUUUGUACUUGCAGUUGGAACUGCAACUUGCAGUUGAGACUUGGACGUGGUCAUAAAUCAAGGAACGUGUAUAUGCUCUUUCUGUUUUA